Molecule: ribosomal RNA, 492 nt
Filed under: uncultured bacterium
Lineage: Bacteria
Description: partial 16S ribosomal RNA
Rfam family: Bacterial small subunit ribosomal RNA
Source: RNAcentral
AUUGAACGCUGGCGGCAUGCUUUACACAUGCAAGUCGAACGGUAACAGGCCUUCGGGUGCUGACGAGUGGCGAACGGGUGAGUAAUGCAUCGGAACGUGCCCAGAGGUGGGGGAUAACGCAGCGAAAGCUGUGCUAAUACCGCAUGUGAUCUGAGGAUGAAAGCGGGGGACCAGGCAGCAAUGUUUGGCCUCGCGCCUUUGGAGCGGCCGAUGUCAGAUUAGGUAGUUGGUGGGGUAAAGGCCUACCAAGCCGACGAUCUGUAGCUGGUCUGAAAGGACGACCAGCCACACUGGGACUGAGACACGGCCCAGACUCCUAGGGGAGGCAGCAGUGGGAAAUUUUGGACAAUGGGCGCAAGCCUGAUCCAGCAAUGCCGCGUGCGGGAAGAAGGCCUUCGGGUUGUAAACCGCUUUUGUACGGAACGAAAAGGCUCUGGCUAAUACCUGGGGCUGAUGACGGUACCGUAAGAAUAAGCACCGGCUAACUACGUG